GACGAACGCUGGCGGCGUGCUUAACACAUGCAAGUCGAACGGAAAGGCCCUGCUUUUGUGGGGUGCUGGAGUGGCGGACGGGUGCGUAACACGUGAGUAACCUGCCCUUGACUUUGGGAUAACUUAAGGAAACUGGGGCUAAUACCGGAUAGGAGCUCCUGCUGCGUGGUGGGGGUUGGAACGUUUCGGCGGGUGGGGAUGGACUGGCGGCUUAUCAGCUUGUUGGUGGGGUGGUGGCUUACCCAGGAUUUGACGGGUACCCCGCCUGAGAGGGUGACCGGCCACAUUGGUACUGAGAGACGGCCCAGACGCCUACAGUAGGCAGCGGUGGCGAGCAUUGCACAGUGAGCGGAAGCCUGAUGCAGCAACGCCGCGUGCGGGAUGACCGCCUUCGGGGUGUGAACCGCUUUCGCCUGAUACGAAGCGUGAGUGACGGUAAUGAGUAAAGAAGCACCGGCUAACUACGUG
This 468-nucleotide ribosomal RNA is filed under the name uncultured bacterium. RNAcentral's name for it is "partial 16S ribosomal RNA". It matches the Rfam family "Bacterial small subunit ribosomal RNA", at positions 28 to 507 of the family's 1533-position model. The record is from RNAcentral.